GCGCGGGGCGCCGGUACGCAGAUUACACCAUAUAUAUACUUUUUCUGUUCAGAAUUAGGGUUGGACAGUUUUUGACGGCGACAGAGGCACUUUUGAGAUCAAGAUCAGAGCACGAAUUUCUUCAUUGUUCUUCAUUGUAAUGAAUUCUUUCACUCUAAUUAUUGUUAUUUCUAUGAUUAUGAGUAACUAAACUCUAUGAUUGGAUCCUAGGGGAUUCUAGUUAUUAUUGUCUUGAACCAUGAAUUUCAUAUGAUGUUUUAAUAUAAUUACGAAGCUAGUUUCAUUCUUUUAUCUCUUGUUCUUAAUGCUUUAUACAACGUCGCGAAUUGUUUGAUGAUUAUAAUUGUUUGUUUACUAAGACAUUAGAAACGAAUUGAUUGACCUAGAGAUAAUUGUGCAAUUAACUUAUUCUUUAGACAUAUAGGUUUGUUAAUUGUGAAUUCAAGGAUUAAAGGGAAACAAACCUCAAUUGAUUAUAGGUCAUCCUAAGACAUUAGGGAUUGAUAAUCAAUUGAGAGGACUAUGUANN
RNAcentral lists this long non-coding RNA (529 nucleotides) under Trifolium pratense (red clover). RNAcentral's name for it is "long non-coding RNA (TPRA_LNC011519)". Lineage: Eukaryota; Viridiplantae; Streptophyta; Magnoliopsida; Fabales; Fabaceae. The record is from RNAcentral.